This 319-nucleotide ribosomal RNA is filed under the name uncultured bacterium. RNAcentral describes it as "bacterial SSU rRNA". It matches the Rfam family "Bacterial small subunit ribosomal RNA", at positions 477 to 793 of the family's 1533-position model. The record is from RNAcentral.
AUUUAACCAGAAAGUCACGGCUAACUACGUGCCAGCAGCCGCGGUAAUACGUAGGUGGCAAGCGUUAUCCGGAUUAUUGGGCGUAAGAGAGUGCAGGCGGUUUCUAAGUCUGAUGUGAAAGACCUUCGGCUUAACCCGGAGAAGUGCAUCGGAAACUAGGAUAACUUGAGUGCAGAAGAGGGUAGUGGAACUCCAUGUGUAGCGGUGGAAUGCGUAGAUAUAUGGAAGAACACCAGUGGCGAAGGACGGCUACCUGGUCUGCAACUGACGCUGAGACUCGAAAGCAUGGGGUAGCGAACAGGAUUAGAUACCCUGGUAG